Molecule: non-coding RNA, 30 nt
Filed under: Rattus norvegicus (Norway rat)
Lineage: Eukaryota; Metazoa; Chordata; Mammalia; Rodentia; Muridae
Source: RNAcentral
UUGAUGUUCAAGACAGAAGACUGGAGAGAU